AGGGGUAUAGUUCAAUGGUAGAGCACCGGUCUCCAAAACCGUCGAUCUGGGUUCGAGUCCUAGUACCCCUGCCA
Molecule: transfer RNA, 74 nt
Filed under: Phascolarctobacterium sp.
Lineage: Bacteria; Bacillati; Bacillota; Negativicutes; Acidaminococcales; Acidaminococcaceae
Also listed under: 1 other name
Description: tRNA-Trp
Rfam family: tRNA
About the family: Transfer RNA (tRNA) molecules are approximately 80 nucleotides in length. Their secondary structure includes four short double-helical elements and three loops (D, anti-codon, and T loops). Further hydrogen bonds mediate the characteristic L-shaped molecular structure. tRNAs have two regions of fundamental functional importance: the anti-codon, which is responsible for specific mRNA codon recognition, and the 3' end, to which the tRNAs corresponding amino acid is attached (by aminoacyl-tRNA synthetases). tRNAs cope with the degeneracy of the genetic code in two manners: having more than one tRNA (with a specific anti-codon) for a particular amino acid; and 'wobble' base-pairing, i.e. permitting non-standard base-pairing at the 3rd anti-codon position.
Source: RNAcentral